UGCCGCGUGAGUGAAGAAGGCCUUCGGGUUGUAAAGCUCUUUCGGACGGAAAGAAAUCGCCACUUCUAAUAAAGGUGGUGGAUGACGGUACCGUCAUAAGAAGCACCGGCUAACUACGUGCCAGCAGCCGCGGUAAUACGUAGGGUGCGAGCGUUAAUCGGAAUUACUGGGCGUAAAGCGUGCGCAGGCGGUUUUGUAAGACAGACGUGAAAUCCCCGGGCUUAACCUGGGAACUGCGUUUGUGACUGCAAGGCUAGAGUGCGGCAGAGGGGGGUAGAAUUCCACGUGUAGCAGUGAAAUGCGUAGAGAUGUGGAGGAAUACCGAUGGCGAAGGCAGCCCCCUGGGUCGACACUGACGCUCAUGCACGAAAGCGUGGGGAGCAAACAGGAUUAGAUACCCUGGUAGUCCACGCCCUAAACGAUGUCAACUAGGUGUUGGGGGAGGAGACUUCCUUAGUACCGCAGCUAACGCGUGAAGUUGACCGCCUGGGGAGACGGGCCGCAAGGUUGAAACU
RNAcentral lists this ribosomal RNA (515 nucleotides) under uncultured bacterium. RNAcentral's name for it is "bacterial SSU rRNA". It matches the Rfam family "Bacterial small subunit ribosomal RNA", at positions 395 to 901 of the family's 1533-position model. The record is from RNAcentral.